Molecule: ribosomal RNA, 1392 nt
Filed under: metagenome
Description: bacterial LSU rRNA
Rfam family: Bacterial large subunit ribosomal RNA
Source: RNAcentral
CAUGCGAGGUAAGAGUUCAGUUGGCAAAUCCGCUGAACAAUCUGAAGACGUGAUGCGGACUGAAAAUAAGUAGGGAAGCACGUGAGCUGACUGUCAAGAAAAGCCGCUAUUGUUUGCAGGAUACCCGUACCGUAAACCGACACAGGUGGAUGGGGAGAGAAUCCUAAGGCCGACGGGAGAAGCAUUGUUAAGGAACUCGGCAAAAUGACUCCGUAACUUCGGGAGAAGGAGUGCCAGUAAGAUGGCCGCAGAGAAUUGGCCCAAGCAACUGUUUAGCAAAAACACAGGUCUAUGCAAAACCGAAAGGUGAGGUAUAUGGGCUGACGCCUGCCCGGUGCUGGAAGGUUAAGGGGAGAGGUUAGCGCAAGCGAAGCUUUGAACUUAAGCCCCAGUAAACGGCGGCCGUAACAAUAACGGUCCUAAGGUAGCGAAAUUCCUUGUCGGGUAAGUUCCGACCCGCACGAAAGGCGUAAUGAUUUGGGCACUGUCUCAACAAUGCACCCGGUGAAAUUGAAAUACCAGUGAAGAUGCUGGUUACCUGCGCCAGGACGGAAAGACCCCAUGGAGCUUUACUCCAGCUUGAUACUGGGAUUCGGUAUUGCAUGUACAGGAUAGGUGGGAGGCUAGGAAAUGGUAACGCCAGUUGCCAUGGAGCCGAUGUUGGGAUACCACCCUUGCAGUACUGGGUUUCUAACCAGCAGCCGUGAUCCGGCUGGGGGACAAUGUCAGGUGGGGAGUUUGACUAGGGCGGUCGCCUCCGAAAGGGUAUCGGAGGCGCUCAAAGGUUCCCUCAGAAUGGUUGGAAACCAUUCGAAGAGUGCAAAGGCAGAAGGGAGCUUGACUGCGACACCGACGGGUGGAGCAGGUACGAAAGUAGGACUUAGUGAUCCGGUGGUAUAAAGUGGGAUUGCCAUCGCUCAACGGAUAAAAGCUACCCUGGGAUAACAGGCUUAUCACUCCCAAGAGUUCACAUCGACGGAGUGGUUUGGCACCUCGAUGUCGGCUCAUCGCAUCCUGGGGCUGAAGUAGGUCCCAAGGGUUGGGCUGUUCGCCCAUUAAAGCGGUACGCGAGCUGGGUUCAGAACGUCGUGAGACAGUUCGGUCCCUAUCCGGCGUGGGCGUAAGAUAUUUGGGAGGAGCUGUCCUUAGUACGAGAGGACCGGGAUGGACUGGCCGCUGGUGUAUCUGUUGUCUUACCAAAGGCAUAGCAGAGUAGCCAAGCCGGGAAGGGAUAAACGCUGAAGGCAUCUAAGCGUGAAGCCCCCCUCAAGAUGAGAUAUCUCAUAACGUCAAGUUAGUAAGACCCCUUGAAGACGACGAGGUAGAUAGGGCAGAGGUGGAAGUGUGGUAACACAUGGAGCUGACUGUUACUAAUAGGUCGAGGGCAUAACC